GACGAACGCUGGCGGCGUGCUUAACACAUGCAAGUCGAACGGUGAAGCGCCUUCCUUUUUGGUGGGUGUGGAUGAGUGGCGAACGGGUGAGUAACACGUGAGUAACCUGCCCCCUUCUUCUGGAUAACCGCAUGAAAGUGUGGCUAAUACGGGAUAUUCUGGGUCUGUCGCAUGAUGGGUCUGGGAAAGAUAUUGUUUCGGUGGGGGAUGGGCUCGCGGCCUAUCAGCUUGUUGGUGGGGUGAUGGCCUACCAAGGCGGUGACGGGUAGCCGGCCUGAGAGGGUGAACGGUCACACUGGGGCUGAGACACGGCCCAGACUCCGACGGGAGGCAGCAGUGGGGAAUAUUGCACAAUGGGCGCAAGCCUGAUGCAGCGACGCCGCGUGAGGGAUGGAGGCCUUCGGGUUGUGAACCUCUUUCGCCAGUGAAGCAGGCCUGCCUCGUUUGUGGGUGGGUUGACGGUAGCUGGAUAAGAAGCGCCGGCUAACUACGUG
RNAcentral lists this ribosomal RNA (494 nucleotides) under uncultured bacterium. RNAcentral describes it as "partial 16S ribosomal RNA". It matches the Rfam family "Bacterial small subunit ribosomal RNA", at positions 28 to 507 of the family's 1533-position model. The record is from RNAcentral.